UUACGGUCAAAUCACGCUGAAACACCGGUUCUCGUACGAUCACCGGAGUUAAGCAGCGUAGAGCCAGGUCAGUACUUAGAUGGGGGACCGCUUGGGAACACCUGGUACUGUAAG
RNAcentral lists this ribosomal RNA (114 nucleotides) under Acanthosepion pharaonis. Lineage: Eukaryota; Metazoa; Mollusca; Cephalopoda; Sepiida; Sepiidae. The record is from RNAcentral.